CAAUAGCGUAUAUUAAAGUUGUUGCAGUUAAAAAGCUCGUAGUUGGAUUUCUGGUGGGAGCGAUCGGUCUGGCGCUUAGCGCGAGUACUUGCAUCGUCUCCGGCCAUCCUUGGGGAGAGUCUGUCUGGCAUUAAGUUGUCGGGCAGAGGAUCCUCAUCGUUUACUGUGAAAAAAUUAGAGUGUUCAAAGCAGGCUUAUGCCGUUGAAUAUAUUAGCACGGAAUAAUAAGAUAGGACUUUGGUACUAUUUUGUUGGUUUGCGCACCAAAGUAAUGAUUAAUAGGGACAGUUGGGGGUAUUCGUAUUCCGUCGUCAGAGGUGAAAUUCUUGGAUUUACGGAAGACGAACUACUGCGAAAGCAUUUACCAAGGAUGUUUUCAUUAA
RNAcentral lists this ribosomal RNA (383 nucleotides) under uncultured eukaryote. RNAcentral's name for it is "partial 18S ribosomal RNA". It matches the Rfam family "Eukaryotic small subunit ribosomal RNA", at positions 592 to 976 of the family's 1831-position model. The record is from RNAcentral.